This is a long non-coding RNA of Solanum pennellii, 589 nucleotides long. RefSeq lists it as uncharacterized. Lineage: Eukaryota; Viridiplantae; Streptophyta; Magnoliopsida; Solanales; Solanaceae. The transcript has 2 exons. The record is from RefSeq and is a predicted model, not a curated record.
UGGACACCGUGAGAUUUAAAAGGGAACUUUUGUCAAUUUUCUCUCUAUAAUCUCUCUCUCUGCUUACGGCCCUCUUUCGAGAUCUUCGUCGGAGGCUGUUCGCAGAGAGAAUAAUAAUAAGAAGAAUAAGAAGAAAGGAAUUGAUUGAAAAGAGAGAUUAGCACAAAAAUGACAAUGAGAUCUGGAAAGUUGCUUUUCAGUUUCGUUGUAGUAUUUGCUCUGAUUUUCUCGGUCCUUUUUCCGGCCGUUCAGGCACAAGAGGGUUUAGCUCCGGCACCUGCUCCAGCCAGCGACGGUACAACAAUUGACCAAGGGAUUGCAUGUGCAUUAAUGUUGUUGGCCUUGGCCGUGACCUACCUCGUUCAUGCUGCUGAUGUUCCUUUUUAAUUAGCUUCUAAAAAUAAUGAGAGUUUAUUGAACAUCAUUGGUGUUUUGAGUGCCUAGGUUUAUGGAAAAUUUACAAGGUUUUUCUUGUUAUUACACCUAGGACACUUGUAUUUAGGACCAAUUUAACUUUGACAAGCAAAUCUUUUUUGGGGUUCCAACAAUAUUUAUAUAAUACUCUUGGUCAAGCUUUUUCAUUAUUCUU